GGGCCCGCACAAGCGGUGGAGUAUGUGGUUUAAUUCGAUGCAACGCGAAGAACCUUACCAGGGUUUGACAUCCUGCGAAUUUCUGGGAAACCGGAAAGUGCCUUCGGGAGCGCAGUGACAGGUGGUGCAUGGCUGUCGUCAGCUCGUGUCGUGAGAUGUUGGGUUAAGUCCCGCAACGAGCGCAACCCACGUCUUUAGUUGCCAGCAUUUAGUUGGGCACUCUAGCGAGACCGCCGGUGAUAAACCGGAGAAGGUGUGGAUGACGUCAAGUCAUCAUGCCCCUUACAUCUGGGCUACACACGUACUACAAUGCUACGGACAAAGGGCAGCAAACUCGCGAGAGCUAGCAAAUCUCUUAAAGCUUGUCUC
This 369-nucleotide ribosomal RNA is filed under the name uncultured bacterium. Its description in RNAcentral is "bacterial SSU rRNA". It matches the Rfam family "Bacterial small subunit ribosomal RNA", at positions 917 to 1289 of the family's 1533-position model. The record is from RNAcentral.